This 468-nucleotide ribosomal RNA is filed under the name uncultured bacterium. RNAcentral describes it as "partial 16S ribosomal RNA". It matches the Rfam family "Bacterial small subunit ribosomal RNA", at positions 28 to 507 of the family's 1533-position model. The record is from RNAcentral.
GAUGAACGCUGGCGGCGUGCUUAACACAUGCAAGUCGAACGGUGAAGGCGGAGCUUGCUCUGCUGGAUCAGUGGCGAACGGGUGAGUAACACGUGAGCAAUCUGCCCCUGACUCUGGGAUAAGCGCUGGAAACGGCGUCUAAUACUGGAUACGAGCUGCGAAGGCAUCUUCAGCAGCUGGAAAGAAUUUCGGUCAGGGAUGAGCUCGCGGCCUAUCAGCUUGUUGGUGAGGUAAUGGCUCACCAAGGCGUCGACGGGUAGCCGGCCUGAGAGGGUGACCGGGCACACUGGGACUGAGACACGCCGCAGACGCCUACGGGAGGCAGCAGUGGGGAAUAUUACACAAUGGGCGAAAGCCUGAUGCAGCAACGCCGGGUGAGGGACGACGGCCUUCGGGUUGUAAACCUCUUUUAGAAGGGAAGAAGCGAAAGUGACGGUACCUGCAGAAAAAGCGCCGGCUAACUACGUG